Molecule: long non-coding RNA, 260 nt
Organism: Scophthalmus maximus (turbot)
Lineage: Eukaryota; Metazoa; Chordata; Actinopteri; Pleuronectiformes; Scophthalmidae
Exons: 3
Source: RefSeq, a predicted model, not a curated record
AGGGAGAGCCAUAGCGAUGAAUGGUGCGUGAGCAGUAGACCUGCCUCAGAGCUCGUACCUCAGAGUCCUGGGAAACGUCAUUUUUGUCGCACACACAAGAAACCAGAUCGUCCAACACGUGAGAACAGGUUCGUCUUGAUGCCGGGGUUGGGUUUUCUGUGGAAGGACGACAGGACGCCAGCAAAAGGCCCGGUCAUACUGUCCGCCGGGUGCCAGGCCUUCAGAAUCUCCUGAGUCUGGGCAUCGGGCUGGGCCACGGC